This 63-nucleotide microRNA precursor is filed under the name Saimiri boliviensis boliviensis (Bolivian squirrel monkey). RNAcentral describes it as "miRNA (ENSSBOG00000020154.1)". The record is from RNAcentral. Lineage: Eukaryota; Metazoa; Chordata; Mammalia; Primates; Cebidae.
UGCUGCCCUGCAGCUCUGAGGAACUCUGACUCCCCUGAUGUCCUCUGUUCCUCAGGUGCUGGG